CCGGCAUCGGAUGAUCUAAGCCAUGCGAGUCAUUGUAGUAAUACAAGGCAGACGGCUCAGUAACGCGUCCUUACCUAACCUAUGGACGGGAAUAACCUCGGGAAACUGACUAUAAUGCCCGGUAGAACAUUAUGCCUGGAAUGGUUUAUGUUCCAAAUGAUUUAUCGCCGUAGGAUGGGACUGCGGCCUAUCAGUUUGUUGGUGAGGUAAUGGCCCACCAAGACUAUUACAGGUACGGGCUCUGAGAGGAGUAGCCCGGAGAUGGGUACUGAGACACGGACCCAGGCCCCUAUGGGGCGCAGCAGACAAGAAAACUUUGCAAUGGCGGAAAGCCCAACAAGGUUAAUCCAAUGGGUUCCUGCUAAAGGAACCUUUUGCCGGUCCUAAAAACACCGAUGAAUAAGGGGUGGACAAGUUCCGGUGUCAGCCGCCGCGGUAAAACCAGCACCUCAAGUGGUCAGGAUGAUUAUUGGGCCUAAAGCAUCCGUAGCCUGCUCUGUUAGUUUUCGGUUAAAUCUGUACGCUCAACGUACAGGCUGCCGGGAAUACUGCAGAGCUAGGGAGUGGGAGAGGUAGACGGUACUCGGUAGGAAGGGGUAAAAUCCUUUGAUCUAUUGAUGACCACCUGUGGGGAAGGCGGUCUACCAGAACACGUCCGACGGUGAGGGAUGAAAGCUGGGGGAGCAAACCGGAUUAGAUACCCGGGUAGUCCCAGCUGUAAACCAUGCAAACUCAGUGAUGCAUUGGCUUGUGGCCAAUGCAGUGCUGCAGGGAAGCCGUUAAGUUUGCCGCCUGGGAAGUACGUACGCCAGUAUGAAACUCAAAGGAAAUGACGGAU
This 838-nucleotide ribosomal RNA is filed under the name uncultured archaeon. RNAcentral describes it as "bacterial SSU rRNA". It matches the Rfam family "Archaeal small subunit ribosomal RNA", at positions 27 to 873 of the family's 1478-position model. The record is from RNAcentral.